GACGAACGCUGGCGGCGUGCCUAAUACAUGCAAGUUGAGCGCUGAAGGUUGGUACUUGUACCGACUGGAUGAGCAGCGAACGGGUGAGUAACGCGUGGGGAAUCUGCCUUUGAGCGGGGGACAACAUUUGGAAACGAAUGCUAAUACCGCAUAAAAACUUUAAACACAAGUUUUAAGUUUGAAAGAUGCAAUUGCAUCACUCAAAGAUGAUCCCGCGUUGUAUUAGCUAGUUGGUGAGGUAAAGGCUCACCAAGGCGAUGAUACAUAGCCGACCUGAGAGGGUGAUCGGCCACAUUGGGACUGAGACACGGCCCAAACUCCUACGGGAGGCAGCAGUAGGGAAUCUUCGGCAAUGGACGAAAGUCUGACCGAGCAACGCCGCGGGAGUGAAGAAGGUUUUCGGAUCGGAAAACUCUGUUGGUAGAGAAGAACGUUGGUGAGAGUGGAAAGCUCAUCAAGUGACGGUAACUACCCAGAAAGGGACGGCUAACUACGUG
Molecule: ribosomal RNA, 497 nt
Filed under: uncultured bacterium
Lineage: Bacteria
Description: partial 16S ribosomal RNA
Rfam family: Bacterial small subunit ribosomal RNA
Source: RNAcentral